AGUCACGACGUAUAUUACAGGUGGCACCACUGCACAUGGGCACAGACUGGAAUUUUUUGGCCAGGCAAUCGGGAGGACAGCUAAAAUGGCCGCCGGGGGUCCUUCACGUACACUGCCGGUGACUUAGCAGCACGAGGGAAUGAGCACAGCUGCCUCGCCACAAAACCUAUAGCGUGACGACAUCCUCCUGCAAAAAAAAGAAUCUCUUGAAGCUCGACGUCCUGCUGUGGCCUCACGAUCCCUGAGAACCAGACUCCAGCUUCGUACACACAGGAAGUUGCUGCUGAAGCCACAGUCACACACAAAGGACACAUUUCUGAUUUAGAGCAUCUCGUAGUGAAAUUCGGAGAAAUUGCAUAACGUGAUAAUCCACCGAUUUAGUAGUUAAAAUUUAAUAAAUGUAUUCCCCCCUUGCAACCAUGAAUGCAACCAAUGAGGAUUUGGCAGCUGUUGCCAAUGAAGAGCUAACUUAAGAAGCGAGCGGCUCUUUCCUGGUUGACUUACUGCUCAGCAAGGUGUUUGCCUGUGCAGGUACCCACUUUUAUUUAAUUUUUUUCCCAAAAGAAAUGUGGUUAAACAUCAUAUUUUUUACCAAAUCCAGACUGUAGAUCUGUUGGACAACUUUGCAAAACGCUGCGAGCUGCUGAAAAACAUAACCUGCAAAAGAUUAUAGUGAAAUAAUUUGACAAACUGAACCAUCGUGAAACUACUAUUUCUAAUACUGUUAAUACCAGUACACAAGUCUUUAUGUUGUCAUUAAAAUAUGUGUGUACAUAAGGAGGGAGCAUUUAAAGUUUCUUUCAUUUAAAAUUUCAGGGAAAGGACCAGAUUACGUCUUGGGCGAUGAAUUCAUACAAGUUAUGAGAAAUCAUCAGCUGUGUGACUUGAGGCAGUCGACGAGUGUUAGCAUGGGCCAGGCUAACACUCAAUGCUAACAAAACUAUAAUUUAAUCAUCAUUGAGCUUUGGAGCAUCUCCACUCUUUAGGUUACGCAAGUCGUCGUGAAGAUCCACUGGUGGAUACAUACAUUGAUGACUUUAGAGUCUUAUGUUCUCGUCCCUCAAGGCCAAGUCGAGCAGAAGGACCGUCGACCACAGUCGCUCAGUCUGGUUCCUCUGAGGAAGGCGAGUGGCAAAAUCCACUCUUUCCAAACCUGCAGGCGCAGGUAAAGUGCUGAGGAUCUUUCCCGGAGCAAACCAACUAACGUUUUUUCUUCAAGCCUCGUGUCUUUAAUUUGUACUGGCAGACGAUGAAAUAUUUACAAGGAACCCUACAGGCAAUUACAUUAAAAGUGUGCGGUUAGACACUGCCUACCCAUCGGCGGGGCCCCCUCGGUGAGAAGCUGAGGCCGAUUUGGUGAAUGGUCGCAAAGUUUACAACGUCAGAUUUUACUCACUAUCAAUAAUUCAGAGCUGGAAGAGGCAGAGAGAGGAGGAAGGAGGGGAGGCGGCGGCGGCGAGGGGCAGGAGAAGGGAGCGACGUUAGGAGGUGAGUGAGUGUGUGUGUGAGCGUUCAGACUGUGGUGAUGUCGGAGGAAGGCUGCACUUCAGUGUCCAUUUGCUAAACGUGGCAGAACACGUGUUGGCGGCCAUGUUGUGUUCACUGAAAGCUCCGCCGGACGUCCCGAUCCCUCAGAGUCCAUCCUGGUUUGUGAUCACACGCAUUGUUGGACAUAGGCUACAAACACAAGAGUGUUUUGUUUGGCACAUACAAACAAACACAUUGGGCAAGACAACAAGGCCAACAGCGGUUGGAUUGUAGUUCCAAAUACGAGCAACAUAAAAAGAUUCUGAUGGCUAAAUUUACAUUACAUAGAAAGUUAAUAAACAACGGUGUCAUGUAACAUGUCUAUUAAGUUUUUUCUUCCAUCCUCAUUUAAGUGUUUUGUUGCAAAUUUUGUGAGAUAAAAAAUAGACUGCGUAUGUAUUUCCCUUUUUUCUUCAAGAUCUGAUCUCAAGUAGUGACAGCACAGAAUAAGCAGGUGACCAAUAAAGUUAAACUUGAAUUCCUGAAUUUUGCAAAUGCUUUUGCUUCCAUACAUAGGACACGAUGCUCCAAACAGUUGCACCUGAAGGGCAAAGACGGAAAAAGAGAGGGAGACUUUGAAGGAGAGUUCAUCACAGGGAAACCCAACAGUUCCCACAACGAGCAUCACAAACUCCCUUUCAACAGGAAGAAACCUCGACCGGUUGGGGAGGGAGAUGAGGGAAAGAGAAGGAUGGAAAGAGGAGAGAGCGAGAACAGUUGUUGUUUUAAGCUCUAUCGAACUGAUUCUUACAUUAACAAUCACAAUACUGACAUGUUAUGAUGUUCAUAAUACUAAUAAGCAGAAAACUAAGCAAAGAGAAGAAGUGAAAGUUUCGAGUUGAUAAACCAUUAAUCUGAUUUACUUUGUCGCAACAAGUUGAUGAGUUUAAAGUUUAAACUGAGGAAAAUGCACUUCCUCUUAACUCCGACUGCUCUUCUUUCGCUCUAAUCUCUUUUUCCCCUGAACUUCGCCUCCGCCCUCAUUCAUCCUUUUCUCGACUCCCUCCCCGUUCAGUCCGUUCGGUGUCGCCUUCCCAGAGGAGCGUCCCACCCGCCAGCGUCCCAGCAGCGGCGGCUGAUGUAUAUUUGAUGAGCUGGUGCCGGGGACCCUCUGGAGGGGCCGAGGCUCCAGCAGGACAAUGGCCCUCGCUCAGGUUUCCUGCUGAAUGGUCCGCCACCGACACGGCUGCUCUUCUCUUUUUUGUUUGUUGGUGAAGUUGUGGUGUCGAGGCUGGAGUUUCAUGGGUCUGAUGUUUCACCGUCAGGUGGGUCAUUGCAACCAAAUGAGGAAUAGACUGGAUCACGCGGGAUAUCAGGUAAUAUUACUGAUAGAAUAAUAAAAGGUGUCCUGUGAAAAGAAGAACUGUUUCCAUCAAGUCCGUUUAAACAAUUUUCUCAAUUAAUUUGCUGUAUUGUCAUUUUCCCUAC
This is a long non-coding RNA of Scophthalmus maximus (turbot), 2955 nucleotides long. RefSeq lists it as uncharacterized. The record is from RefSeq and is a predicted model, not a curated record. Lineage: Eukaryota; Metazoa; Chordata; Actinopteri; Pleuronectiformes; Scophthalmidae. The transcript is spliced from 4 exons.